CAUCUGCAUCUAACAGCAUCGAGUCAACCAGAAAGAAAAGAAAAAAGAAAAUGACUUAUUUCUGAUCACACCUGUUCCGCUGCUCACAGGCUGCUGCUGCUCACAUUCUUCACAUUUAUUGUCUACUUGUAAAAGUUCAGCAGACAGGUGCUCUGCUUUGGAGUGUGACGAUGUCGUCGGUGAUGUGGAGAGUGAAGUUCCCAUUUCAGCCACAGCGUGCUUUAGGACAGCCGGGUCGAACUUGAUGUUUGAAAUACUGACCGACAGCUCAGAUUUAACUGUCUGUAGUUCCGUUUUGACUUUCACUCAAAGCCGCCAGGAGCUGGGUCUUUAAAAUAACCGCCGUCUUGUUACAGAGUGAAAGUAGCAGUUCCUCCUGAAGGUCAGAGAUUGCAGCAUCUGAGGGCCUCUUCAAAAGAAGACGUAGUUGAUGAAGGCAUUCUGGAGCAGGACCAGAAAGACCACGACCAAGCAGCCUUGAGAUCUUAGGCAGCAUCUCCCUCAGGUCCCUCUCUAUCUCCCCACACAUCCACCAACCACUGGAACACAUCUCCAAAGUUCUGCUGGGCCAGCUCAGCUUCCCCUCAGAAGAAGUGCUGCCACCUGCCAGAUGAAGGAGCCUUUUGAGAGGCAGCUGGCAUCGUGAUUGGACUGUACUUUGGUCUGUUCCAAUCCAGCUUCAGCUCCAGAGACGGCAGGCGGGACGAGUCAAUGGAGGCCGGGUGGACGAAGGCAUGCAGCUGAGUACAAUCCAGAAAACAACAGAGGAGGAGUGCAGCGGCCCAGAGCCAGAACAACCAGAGUAGCAUCGUAUGUCUCUUAGAAAACAUCAUAGUAUAGCCUUUGGUAUGAAAAAACGCCAUCAUAUACAUCGUAUAUUGUACAUAUAACAAGUCAAAGGAAAGAGACAUACAUUGUAGAAUUGUAGUAAUUGUGGGCUGACUGAUUUACUGAUUAUCAGUAUUUUAUUUUUUACUGAUUUACGGUAAUAAAUACAUUUAAAAAUGG
This is a long non-coding RNA of Amphiprion ocellaris (clown anemonefish), 1008 nucleotides long. RefSeq lists it as uncharacterized. The record is from RefSeq and is a predicted model, not a curated record. Lineage: Eukaryota; Metazoa; Chordata; Actinopteri; Pomacentridae. The transcript has 2 exons.